UACAGAGGUCUCAAGCGUUGUUCGGAUUCAUUGGGCGUAAAGGGUGCGUAGGCGGCGCGGUAAGUCGGGUGUGAAAUCUCGGAGCUUAACUCCGAAACUGCAUUCGAUACUGCCGUGCUUGAGGACUGGAGAGGAGACUGGAAUUUACGGUGUAGCGGUGAAAUGCGUAGAUAUCGUAAGGAAGACCAGUGGCGAAGGCGGGUCUCUGGACAGUUCCUGACGCUGAAGCACGAAAGCCAGGGGAGCGAACGGG
RNAcentral lists this ribosomal RNA (253 nucleotides) under uncultured bacterium. Its description in RNAcentral is "partial 16S ribosomal RNA". It matches the Rfam family "Bacterial small subunit ribosomal RNA", at positions 524 to 776 of the family's 1533-position model. The record is from RNAcentral.